Gasterosteus aculeatus aculeatus (three-spined stickleback) is the source of this 2526-nucleotide long non-coding RNA. The record is from Ensembl. NCBI's taxonomy places the organism in Eukaryota, Metazoa, Chordata, Actinopteri, Perciformes, Gasterosteidae.
CCUCCUUCAGAGCCCGCCCCCUCCUACAGAACCCCGGCCCUCCUUCAGAACCCCGCCCCUCCUUCAGAACCUAGGUCCUCCUUCAGAACCCCGCCCCUCCUACAGAACCCCGUCCCUCCUACAGAACCUAGUCCCUCCUACAGAACCCCAUCCCUCCUACAGAACCCCGCCCCCUUUAGAACCCUACCUGCACGUCUCUGUAGAACAUCUCGUACUGAUGGAUCAUCUGCCGGCUGAUCUGGGAUCCGUGGUAAACAAUGACGUUCAUGGGGGUCCAGGUACGGAACUCCCUCUCCCAGUUUGUGAUGGUGGACAGGGGGGCGAUGAUGAGGAAGGGGCCGCGGAUCCCCAUGCUGAAGAUCUCAAACAGAAAGGUGAUGGACUGGAUCGUUUUUCCUAGACCCAUCUCAUCCGCCAGUAUGCAGUUCUUCCUGGAGGGGAGACGGAGACAGAGUCUUUAACCAGAAGACGGGUGGAGACACAGCUGGUCACACAACACAAAGAGAAGCAACGGUACAAACUCACAUGCACUAAAAAGCACGCUCACGUGCACUAGCAUGCAUCAAAAGGCCAUGUGGUGCAUUCAUUUAAAUAUCAGAUUAUUUGUGGAACUGAUGUGUAGAUUUUAGAUUCAUUUUAUAAUUAGUUCCCCAUAAUAACUAAAUGUAAACUAAUGUGUGUGCGAGAGCAGCACUCACCGGUUGUACCAGUUGAAGAGUAACCAGUUCAUUCCCUCUAACUGGUACUCUCUGAGCUGGUUCCCAUUUCUGAAAUCUCUGGUGUUGUUCAGCUUCUGCCACUUCUCUGGAGGAGGACGAUCCUGCAACGCAAGCACGUGGAAACCUUUUAUCAGAUAUGAGGAGCGGGCAAACCAUCAGACUGUAGAGCUCCUGGAUUCUUUGGGUUCCAUCACAAAGGAGAUUAAAUAGCUGUAGAGUAUUAGAUUCGAUUAUUAAGGCUUCCCUUCCCCACUGGACCACGAGGAGACACCUGAAGAGGUUUUAAGGGAAAACAGUAGAGAACCCAAAGACGUUGUCGCUGUUUCCCUUGGGAUGUUUUCGUCACUUGAUGCAAUAGCUAUCUAUUUAUCCCGCAUCUUCUCAACAGUUCUAUCAGGUCAGUUGAUGUGUUGAGGCGUUUUAGCAGCUGGUUCUCCUGCUGGAGGAGCAACCCAGUCACAACUCAGUGUUGAGAAAGAAACCCAGAUGUUUUAUUCCGUAGUUUUCAGCUUGUUCUGGUUCCACUCACCAUGUGUCUGAGGUCUGCUGGCAGUUUCUGGAUGUGCUCAAACUCUUUGAUCUUCUCUGAAUCCAGGUCCUCCUGCAGCUCCCAGGUAGCCUCCUCGUAUGAGAGACUGCACCACUUCACCAGGUAGUGGGUGACCUCCUACAACAGCCCGCACAACACAUCCCACAGCGUUAGCAGAUGUUAGCUGGAGGUAGCGGAUGUAAGCACCAGGUGUUACCAGCUGUUACCAGGUGUUACCAGGUGUUACCUGGUCACCUUUGUGUUAUGUAAAGUUACCUGCUGUCAUCACAGCUGAUUUUGUGUGCUACCCACCUCUCCAGUCUCAGUGUCCGUGGUGACAGCCACCUCCAAGAUUCGGUCCACUUCCACAUAGUCCGGAUUAAAGAUGUCCUCAUCGGGCUGGAAGACGGGACAGAAAGACAACAAGACGAUGUUGAUUGAUUGAUUCCUCAUAGUGGAUCAAGUCAGAUAACAAUUUUAUAGAAUACAAAAUAAGCAAAAAACACCAGCGAUCAUUAAUGAAAUGUGUUCUUUAUUCUAACAGUGAUAUUUAUUUUGGUUUCUCCAUAUUGUUAUUGAGCCACUGUCAUUUAUUUGUGUUUGUGACUUGACUAGAGGAAGAGGGGGCUGUUGCACAAAAGUAGAAAACAGAAAUCCAGGAUUAGUGAAAAGCAGCUUGACUUAGUUUGAUCUUAAUCAGUUGCACGUUUGCCGAGUCGGGAUGAGGAGGAGGAGCUUAGUCCAUCCAGGUGCACACAGCUGGGAUCCGUGCACGUUCACGGCUUAAGUAGACCACGGCGUCCAUCACAGAGCUACUGAUGCACAGAUGGAGAAGACGCGCGCGGCAUAUUUGUCACCUGCUGAGCAGCAACUAAUUAUGGAAACUUCUGAGGAGGUGAAGCCUCUAAUAUGCAGAAAAGGGAAACCGGCAACUGUAAUUAAACAGAGAAAAGUCUGGCAGACAAUCGCUGACCGACUGAAUGCGGAAGGGUUUUAGUGCUGUUUGUGUGCUGGUGUCUUUAAGUAGCCUACAUGGAAUAUUCCUCUGGAAAUUUCUAAAAAAAGUUGAAAAAAAAGUCGAAAAAGUCUAGCUAGUAUUGAUACUUUCAGGUGUUGCUCUAUCUGCUGUAGUGAAACACUGAAGAACAAGAACACACUUUCCACAUUCGUUCUGAGCUUUGAUGAAGACAAAAGGGGUUGACAUGAUGGUUAUCCAUCAAGGAGUUGCCUUGGUUACGGCAGGUGAGAGUUACUGUGGGCUUUACAGACUGCAUUGGG